CAUUUUAACGUCAUAGAUUUAGCUGGUGGUAACUUGUGGAAUAGGCACCGGCUGGAAUGUGGUUUUAACCAAUCUAUAUUCAGGAUUAAACCCCCCAUUGUAUAAAAUUAAAAUUGCAAACAUUGGUCAAAAGACAACUGGAAGUGGGAAGCACGCGGAUGGUUGAAGAGACGUGACAAAUAAGAGAUGACUUGCAGCAAAUUGACGUGAAAGUCCCUCCCUUUAGUACCUGGCUUAUCAUGGCCCUGUCCAGUUAAUUGGUAGAGGGUUUGGGAGCUGUGAGUUCUGAUAGAGGAAUGCAUCAACUUACAUGAAUAGGUUGGUGUAUUGGGGUGGCCUGUUAUGUCCUCUGUAUUUCAGACCAAGGAAAGACAAUGUUUAAAGCUUACUAUGGAUUUACAAACGGUUUAGCCUCUAUAACAUCUUUGGAUGUAUUAGCAGUGUGAUUAUAGUUUGUUCUGUGUAAAUCCUUUGUCUGUUCCAAUGCUAACUGAAUGGUGAAUGAAUGUAUUUACAGUCAAUCAAUCAGUCAAUACAGUGUGGUUAUAGUGUGUUCUGUGUAAUUCCGUUGUCUUUUCCUAUACUAACUGAAUGGUGAAUGUCUGGUGUCAUUUUGUCUUCUUGUUGUAUGUGAGAAGAGAAGUUGUUUUUUAGGGGAAGGGAAAUGUUUCUUUCACAUUCUGUAUAUUUUAACCAAAUUAAACUCCAGUUUAAGAACUGGGAUAAACUGCAAAUGUCAUUGUGGGGUAGGCCACGUUAUAAAUAUGGUUAUAGCUCCUAAACUGAAUACGUUAUCAGCAUGUUUCCACUGUCCAUACCUGCCUUCACCAAAAUGAUGACUCAGUUUAUUUGGACUAGUAAAAGGGCAAUAAUUAACCUAGCUAGAUUACAGGCAAGGAUUUAUAAGGGAGGAUUAAACUGUAAUUUAUACUGAACAAAAAUAUAAACACAAUGUAAAGUGUUUAUCCCAUGUUUCAUGAGUUGAAAUAAAAAAUCCCAGAAAUGUUCCAUAUGCAAAAAAAGCUUAGUUCUCCAAAAUGUUUUGCACGAAUUUGCGUGAACAUUUCCCCUUUGCCAAGAUAAUCAUUCCACCUGACAGGUGUGGUAUAUUAAGAAGCUGAUUAAACAGCAUGAUCAUUAGCCAAG
Molecule: non-coding RNA, 1146 nt
Organism: Salmo salar (Atlantic salmon)
Lineage: Eukaryota; Metazoa; Chordata; Actinopteri; Salmoniformes; Salmonidae
Source: RefSeq, a predicted model, not a curated record